RNAcentral lists this ribosomal RNA (770 nucleotides) under uncultured bacterium. RNAcentral's name for it is "bacterial SSU rRNA". It matches the Rfam family "Bacterial small subunit ribosomal RNA", at positions 8 to 795 of the family's 1533-position model. The record is from RNAcentral.
AGAGUUUGAUCCUGGCUCAGGACGAACGCUGGCGGCGUGCUUAACACAUGCAAGUCGAACGGAAAGGCCCUUCGGGGUACUCGAGUGGCGAACGGGUGAGUAACACGUGGGUGAUCUGCCCUGCACUUUGGGAUAAGCCUGGGAAACUGGGUCUAAUACCGAAUAUGACCACGCUCUUCAUGGGGUGUGGUGGAAAGCUUUUACGGUGUGGGAUGGGCCCGCGGCCUAUCAGCUUGUUGGUGGGGUAAUGGCCUACCAAGGCGACGACGGGUAGCCGGCCUGAGAGGGUGACCGGCCACACUGGGACUGAGAUACGGCCCAGACUCCUACGGGAGGCAGCAGUGGGGAAUAUUGCACAAUGGGCGCAAGCCUGAUGCAGCGACGCCGCGUGAGGGAUGACGGCCUUCGGGUUGUAAACCUCCUUCACCAGGGACGAAGCGCAAGUGACGGUACCUGGAGAAGAAGCACCGGCCAACUACGUGCCAGCAGCCGCGGUAAUACGUAGGGUGCGAGCGUUGUCCGGAAUUACUGGGCGUAAAGAGCUCGUAGGUGGUUUGUCGCGUUGUUCGUGAAAACUCACAGCUUAACUGUGGGCGUGCGGGCGAUACGGGCAGACUAGAGUACUGCAGGGGAGACUGGAAUUCCUGGUGUAGCGGUGGAAUGCGCAGAUAUCAGGAGGAACACCGGUGGCGAAGGCGGGUCUCUGGGCAGUAACUGACGCUGAGGAGCGAAAGCGUGGGGAGCGAACAGGAUUAGAUACCCUGGUAGUC